This is a non-coding RNA of Prunus avium (sweet cherry), 410 nucleotides long. Lineage: Eukaryota; Viridiplantae; Streptophyta; Magnoliopsida; Rosales; Rosaceae. The record is from RefSeq and is a predicted model, not a curated record.
UUCUACCUCCCCGGUAUUUCCUAGCUCAAAGAACCUCCAAUCGCUUCCUCAACAUUUACAUGCUGCCCCGUCUUUCAUUUCAUCCCACUGGGUCUCGACCCAUAUUGUCAAAUAUGGGCUGUGCUUUUUGCAGUUUGAGAUUUUAAUCUUUAGGCUGUGAUUUUUGCAGAUUUUCAGUUUGUCAUUUUUUAUUUGGACAAAGCAUAUGUAGAAAAAGGCUGAAAUGCAGGAAAACUUUAAGGGAUUAGUUGAAGAUGAAUGUCCUGAUAAUUUAAAGGCACGGAGAAGAGCUUAGGUUGGGCAACUAAAGUUUUGGAACUCUACUGAUGUAGGCAGACCUUUGUAAUAUUUGGCUAUUGUAAAUUGUAAUCCACAUUGGUACUUUAUAUUUUAUAAGAAUGGUUGUUGUA